Non-coding RNA from Cinara cedri, 469 nucleotides. The record is from the annotation of a GenBank genome assembly. NCBI's taxonomy places the organism in Eukaryota, Metazoa, Arthropoda, Insecta, Hemiptera, Aphididae.
CCUUUCGUAAAAAGAUAAAAGAGCCGUCCGAAACAUCCGCAGUAAUAGGUAUACGUUGGUAAUAGUACCUAUGUAGGUGUACCUACGUGCGCCAGAUGUGUAAUUCUGGGUCACCGACGGGCUAAACAUUAAUUAACCGCAAGCCACACGGCCAAUCAGUAUACGCGAGGCCGAUUUAAAGCGCAUAUAAACGUACUAUAUGAGUCGGAAGCCGCAUUUACCCGUACCCUACAUAUUCAGGUAGGUAGGUGCAAUUAAAUUUAAUGUGCAGUGCUCUCGGUUCGAAAACAAACGCGUUUUUAUUAGCCAAGACGAACGACGAAACAAGUACCGACAAGAACUAAAUCGCCUAUAGAUUGGUCGUAUAUCCUAAUGAAGUGUUAAACGGUUUGAACGUUUGACUAGAAUUUGUAAAUUAGCAUAAAACCCUUCGGUACCAUUGUAGGAUAGGUUUUUGAAAUUUUAUACG